UACGGGAGGCAGCAGUGGGGAAUAUUGCACAAUGGGCGCAAGCCUGAUGCAGCCAUGCCGCGUGUAUGAAAAAGGCCUUCGGGUUGUAAAGUACUUUCAGUCGUGAGGAAGGUGUUAAGGUUAAUAACCUUAGCAAUUGACGUUAGCGACAGAAGAAGCACCGGCUAACUCCGUGCCAGCAGCCGCGGUAAUACGGAGGGUGCGAGCGUUAAUCGGAAUUACUGGGCGUAAAGGGCACGCAGGCGGUUAAUUAAGUUGGAUGUGAAAUCCCCGGGCUUAACCUGGGAAUGGCAUUCAAGACUGGUUAGCUAGAGUCUUGUAGAGGGGGUAGAAUUCCAUGUGUAGCGGUGAAAUGCGUAGAGAUGUGGAGGAAUACCGGUGGCGAAGGCGGCCCCUGGACAAAGGCUGACGCUCAUGUGCGAAAGCGUGGGGAGCAAAC
Molecule: ribosomal RNA, 439 nt
Filed under: uncultured bacterium
Lineage: Bacteria
Description: bacterial SSU rRNA
Rfam family: Bacterial small subunit ribosomal RNA
Source: RNAcentral